This 448-nucleotide ribosomal RNA is filed under the name uncultured bacterium. RNAcentral describes it as "SSU rRNA". It matches the Rfam family "Bacterial small subunit ribosomal RNA", at positions 26 to 518 of the family's 1533-position model. The record is from RNAcentral.
AGAGCGAACGCUGGCGGCAGGCCUAACACAUGCAAGUCGAGCGCCCGUAGCAAUACGGGAGCGGCAGACGGGAUAGUAACACGUGGGAACGCGCCCUUCGGUUCGGAAUAACUCAGGGAAACUUGAGCUAAUACCGGAUACGCCCUUACGGGGAAAGAUUUAUUGCCGAAGGAACGGCCCGCGUCCGAUUAGCUAGUUGGUGAGGUAAUGGCUCACCAAGGCGACGAUCGGUAGCUGGUCUGAGAGGAUGACCAGCAUCACUGGGACUGAGACACGGCCCAGACUCCUACGGGAGGCAGCAGUGGGGAAUAUUGGACAAUGGGCGCAAGCCUGAUCCAGCCAUGCCGCGUGGAUGAUGAAGGCCUUAGGGUUGUAAAGUCCUUUUAACGGGGAGAUAAUGACGGUACCCGUAGAAUAAGCCCCGGACUAACUUCGUGCCAGCAGCCGC